AGAGUUUGAUCCUGGCUCAGGACGAACGCUGGCGGCGUGCUUAACACAUGCAAGUCGAACGGAAAGGCCCUUCGGGGUACUCGAGUGGCGAACGGGUGAGUAACACGUGGGUGAUCUGCCCUGCACUCUGGGAUAAGCCUGGGAAACUGGGUCUAAUACCGGAUAGGACCGCAUGCUUCAUGGUGUGUGGUGCAAAGCUUUUGCGGUGUGGGAUGAGCCCGCGGCCUAUCAGCUUGUUGGUGGGGUAAUGGCCUACCAAGGCGACGACGGGUAGCCGGCCUGAGAGGGUGACCGGCCACACUGGGACUGAGAUACGGCCCAGACUCCUACGGGAGGCAGCAGUGGGGAAUAUUGCACAAUGGGCGCAAGCCUGAUGCAGCGACGCCGCGUGAGGGAUGACGGCCUUCGGGUUGUAAACCUCUUUCAGUAGGGACGAAGCGAAAGUGACGGUACCUACAGAAGAAGGACCGGCCAACUACGUGCCAGCAGCCGCGGUAAUACGUAGGGUCCGAGCGUUGUCCGGAAUUACUGGGCGUAAAGAGCUCGUAGGUGGUUUGUCGCGUUGUUCGUGAAAACUCACAGCUUAACUGUGGGCGUGCGGGCGAUACGGGCAGACUAGAGUACUGCAGGGGAGACUGGAAUUCCUGGUGUAGCGGUGGAAUGCGCAGAUAUCAGGAGGAACACCGGUGGCGAAGGCGGGUCUCUGGGCAGUAACUGACGCUGAGGAGCGAAAGCGUGGGUAGCGAACAGAAUUAGAUACCCUGGUAGUCCACGCCGUAAACGGUGAGUACUAGGUGUGGGUUUCCUUCCUUGGGAUCCGUGCCGUAGCUAACGCAUUAAGUACCCCGCCUGGGGAGUACGGUCGCAAGACUAAAACUCAAAGGAAUUGACGGGGGCCCGCACAAGCGGCGGAGCAUGUGGAUUAAUUCGAUGCAACGCGAAGAACCUUACCUGGGUUUGACAUGCACAGGACGUAUCUGGAGAUAGGUAUUCCCUUGUGGCCUGUGUGCAGGUGGUGCAUGGCUGUCGUCAGCUCGUGUCGUGAGAUGUUGGGUUAAGUCCCGCAACGAGCGCAACCCUUGUCCUAUGUUGCCAGCGGGUAAUGCCGGGGACUCGUAGGAGACUGCCGGGGUCAACUCGGAGGAAGGUGGGGAUGACGUCAAGUCAUCAUGCCCCUUAUGUCCAGGGCUUCACACAUGCUACAAUGGCCAGUACAGAGGGCUGCGAAGCCGUAAGGUGGAGCGAAUCCCUUAAAGCUGGUCUCAGUUCGGAUUGGGGUCUGCAACUCGACCCCAUGAAGUCGGAGUCGCUAGUAAUCGCAGAUCAGCAACGCUGCGGUGAAUACGUUCCCGGGCCUUGUACUCACCGCCCGUCAAG
Molecule: ribosomal RNA, 1377 nt
Filed under: uncultured bacterium
Lineage: Bacteria
Description: bacterial SSU rRNA
Rfam family: Bacterial small subunit ribosomal RNA
Source: RNAcentral